This 348-nucleotide unclassified non-coding RNA is filed under the name Hevea brasiliensis (rubber tree). Lineage: Eukaryota; Viridiplantae; Streptophyta; Magnoliopsida; Malpighiales; Euphorbiaceae. The record is from RNAcentral.
GUAAGGUUCAACAUGCUAACAUCCAAGCUUCUAAGGCUGUUGCCGACAUUAUCCGAACUACUCUGGGUCCUCGGUCGAUGUUAAAAAUGCUACUUGAUGCUGCUGGAGGAAUUGUGGUCACCAAUGACGGAAAUGCUAUACUUCGUGAAUUGGAUAUUGCCCAUCCAGCUGCUAAGUCAAUGAUUGAACUUAGCCGCACUCAGGAUGAAGAAGUAGGAGAUGGUACAACAUCUGUCAUUGUUCUCGCUGGUGAAAUGCUUCAUGUUGCGGAAGCCUUCAUCGACAAGAACUUCCAUCCUACUGUUAUCUGUCGAGCCUACAACAAAGCUCUUGAGGAUUCUAUUGCUG